GGCAACCCAACAGAAUGGAAUAGAUGAACCUCUAGGUACAGUUAGCGUAUGAUACAGUCUCUUUAUCGUGGAUCCCAAUAGGAUGGAGGUCAUGGAUAACUCGUCAAACUCCAUCAUCUGUCAUAUGUAAAAUUUAUUCGACUCCAGUUCGAGAUUGGAAAACUCUUUUUCCAAAAACUACCUUGGCCAAAGAUUUACGAACUCAGUCUCAUAAAUCAUAUAGGAUCUCUCCUAAUCUAUCAAGAUCGAUAGAUUCCAUCUAGAUGCACCCCUACUCCUGCAAUGAACCUACCGUAGCCAAUCUGCACCACACGGACCCAAAUGGAUAGGGCCCAUAUUUAUGUGCUCGUCAAACUACAGCAACCUCACUGUGAAUAGCCGAGGCAUUGCAGGUCAAAGGAUCAGUCAUACAACUGCAGCAUCAAGUAAGUCACUGACGAGUGGAUAGACAUCCAAGUGACUACUUGCUUUGGUCACGAUCAGUACCCUUGUUCUCUAACAAGCACUUGCACAAUCACUUCAGUGUCUCCACACUGUGGACUCAAGACUCAUCCAUCUGACUAAGUGAUCUGUGCACUAAUCUCAGCGGAUCGAUCACCGUUCUUCGUGAUGAAUCCAUCAAUCAGGAGCAAUUCAGGAAUUAAUCAUCAAUGACACAUGCCUCAAAUUCUCAACUCUUGAGAAUAUGCAUCAUAAUCUUAUUAAUUUCUUGGACGAUUCAUGGACAUAUAAGAACAUGAAUGAAAAGAAAGCCCAUCCUAAUAAAUUUAUUAUUAGGUCAAGUAUAAAUUUAUGUCCUAGAACAAAAUAAUGCGUCAGCCAAAUUGGCUUCUAGGGCAUACUUCUAACAAUCUUCCACUUGCACUAAAGCUAAUCAACCAUAAAUCUAAGCCCCAUCCUCUCAAGAUGUGCUUCAAUUUUCUGCUGAUUUAGCUGCUUAGUGAAUGGGUCCACCACAUUUCCUAUGGGAUCUACUCUCUGUACCUUUACUUAUUUCUUUUUGAGGUAGUCGCGUAUCAGGUUAAACCUCCGCUCUAUGUGCUUAGACUUCUGGUAAGACCUUGGCUCCUUAGCAAGUGCUAUGGUGCCAUUAUUAUCGUAGUAUAGUAUUAUGGCAUCUGAUGACAUUACACCUAAUUCUGCAAUAAAAUUCUUGAUCCAGAAGGUUUCCACUGCACCCUUAGAGGCGGCGAUAUAUUUAGUUUUCAAGAUAGAAUCUGUAAUGAUCGGUUGUUUAGAACUCUUCUAAAUUACCGAACCACCAUUGCACAUAUUCUGAUGUAGACUUUCUAUCAUCAAUAUGUGUGUAUCCUUCUACCUUUAACUCUGAUCUUCUUCUAAAGACCAAGAACAUGUUCUCAGUUCUUCUCAAGUACUUAAGACUGUUCUUCACAGCUAUCCAGUGCUCGUGGCCUAGAUUUGACUGAUAUAUGCUCGUGACACUCACAACAUGUGCUAUAUCAAGUCGUGUACAUAGCAUGAUAUACAUGAGGCUCCCUAUAGCCGAAGCAUAAGGGAUCUUGCUCAUCCGCUGAAUCUCUUCAGAUGUGUUGGGGCACAUCUUCUUGGAGAGAUUUAUCCCAUGCCUAAGGGGUAAUAAUCCCCUUUUAGAGGUUUCCAUGCCGAACCUCUUCAGCAUUUUCUCUAUGUACAUAUUCUGUGAUAGGACAAGCAUCCUCUUAGAUCUAUCUCUAUAGACCUUAAUUUCCAAAAUAUAGGAUGCUUUCCAAAGGUCUUUCAUGGAGAAUUUCUUAGACAACCAUACCUUGAUCUUAGUUCGCAUGGGAAUAUCAUUCCCAACAAGAAGAAUAUCAUCCGCAUACAAUACGAGAAAUACAAUAGCCCUCCCACUAACUUUCUUAUAAACACAUGGUUCCUCUUCGUUCUUGAUGAAGACAAACGAUUUGAUUACAUCGUUGAAAUGAUUUUUCCAACUCCGAGAUGCUUGUUUUAGUCCAUAGAUGGACAUUAGCAGUUUAUAGACCUUGUGAUCACCAUCACAAUAUCAUGAUUUACUGCAACAACAAGCAAUAUUCGAAUGGACUUCAGCAUGACUACAGGUGAAAAGGUAUCCUGAUAGUCAAUGCUUUCGCACUGACUAUAACCUUUCGCCACUAGCCUUGCCUUAUAGGUCUCUACCUUGCCAUCCGAACUUAAUUUUCUCUUGUAGAUCUAUUUACACCCAAUAGAUACUCUACCUUCUAGUGGAUCUAUUAAGGUCCAGACUUGGUUGAAAUGCAUGGAGUCCAUCUUUGACUUCAUUGCUUCCAGCCAUCUCUCGAAAUUGAUGUCUAACAUCGCCUCGUUGUAGGUAUUGGAAUCCAUACUUUGAUCCCUAUCUCGCAUGAAGAACAUUUUCUCUACAUCCUCUGUAAGCAUACCUAAGUACCUUUUAGGAGGAUAGAAGAUCAUACUAGGUUUACGAGGUGGAGGAGGUACUGCAUAUACUGGCUCAAUAUGAAUAGAUUUUAUAGGCACAAUGGCUCAUUGCUCUCCAGAGACUUUCUCUUCAAGCUCAGUUUUUCUCCCACUGCCUCUAUCAAGAAAAAACUAUUUUUCAUGAAGAUAGCAUGUCGGCUCACAAACACUUUGUGAUCCUAUGGGACAAAAAAUCAUAUCCUAAUGACUCUUAAGGAUAUCCAUUAAAAUAAGCACUAAUUGUCCUAUCCUCUAACUUAUCCGUCUAUUGUCACUUGACUUGGGCCGAACAUUCCCAAAUCUUAAGAUAACCAAGAUUCGGCUUCUUACCAUGCCAUAUCUCUCGUAUGGUGUGGUAGGUACGGACUUUAGAGGAAACUCUAUUCAAUAAGUAAAUAGUUGAAAAUAUGGUAUCUCUCUAAAGAAACAAGGGUAAAUUAGUGAAGCUCAUCAUGGAUAUGACCAUAUCCAAUAGGAUCCGAUUCCUCCUCUCUGACACCCCAUUGAGUCAGGUGUACUAGGAGGGGUCCAUUAUGAAACUAUACCAUUCUCUUUGAGAUAAUCACGAAACUCUUCAUUAAGGUGCUUACCUCCUCAAUCCGAUCGAAGAACCUUAAUGAGUUUUUCUGUUUGUUUUUCUACUUCAUAUCUGAACUCUUUGAACUUUUUAAAAGCUUCAAAUUUGUGUCUCAUACAUAUAUCCAUACCAUAAGUAAUCAUCGGUAAAUGAAGUAAAAAUUAUGAUCCCUAGCCUGCACAUCGAAUGGGUCACACAUGUCAGUGUGUACUAAGGUAAGUAUUUCAGUGGACCUCUCCCCGUAUCCUACAAAGGAUAAUUUGACCAUCUUUUCCUUGAAGGCAGGAUUCACAAUUCGGAUAUGACUCAAAAGUCAAUGAGCCAGAAGCCCAUAUUUCUCCAAUUUGUUUAUUAUGUCUUCUCCUAUAUGGCCAAGCAUGAGGUGCCACAAAUACUUUAAAUUUAUCUCAUCUCUAGAUCUUUUGGAUCCUAUGGUACUCACUAUUUGCUCAGAUAAUUUCACAGAUACAUCGAAAUGUAAGUGAUAGAGACUGUCAAUCAUAAAACCAUGUGAAAUCAAUUUAUUUUUCGAAUAAAUGGAACAGCAGUCUUAUAAAAAUCUUUCUGUGCUAAACAAGAUACAGAAAUCAAAUUUCUGCUAGCAGCAGGUAACAGUUCCUAAGUAUCCUAAGCAUAUCUGACAUACCUUCUGAAGGUGUGUCACCCUUUUUUGCUCUUUAUGCUUCUCAUGUAUGUAGGACAGUUCCUCUUCCAAUGUCCGUCCAUAAUGCAAUGGAAACACUUUUCCUUGCAAUCGGUCUUUUUCUUGGAACUUUCUUACUUGGCUCUUUCUUGGUCUUCUGCUUCUUCGCAGGCUUCUUCUUCUUUCAGGUAGACUCUUUCUUGGAAGUAGAAGCCAACUCGACAGCGAGAACUAUGCCCCUUGAACUCUUUAAGGUCCCUAAGGUAGUUACCAAUUUGUUUAACAAUUCUGUUUUGGUGCAUACAGUCUUGUUCAUAUGAUAGUUUACUAUAAACUAUUCAUAUGAAGCUGGAAGGGAUUGCGGGAUCAAAUCCGUUUGUAAUUUCUUGUGCAUGGUCAAAUCGAGCUUCUCAAGCUCCUCCAAGUCCUUUAUCAUGGUCAGACCAUGGUCAUGGACAGACUGCCCUUCGCGUAUCUUGGUCUUGAAGAGCCUUUUGGAUACUUCAAACUGUGCUGCGCGACUCUGUUCACCCUACAACUCUUACAAGUGAUUUAAUAUGUCCCGGCAGUCUUCAUGUUCUCAUGCUAUUAUGUAGCACCUAACUUUAUUGUCAUCGUUCGUCCACUUGUCAUGCGUCUUACGCUGAUCAGUGAUCGGACGGACUGGUAACACGGGGAUGUCAUGGUCUAGCAUAUACCCUAAUUUCUCACAAUUCAAAACUAUUUUGAAAUUGCUGAGCCAGUCUUUAUAAUUGAGUUUGGUCAAAUGGUUGUUCUCUAGGAUAUGAGUUAAGAGUUUGGAAGCUAACAUUAUAAUCCUCAGAGAGUAAAAAUUCUAGUUAAAAUUUUGUACUUGAACUCUAUUUGUUUUAGGGACAUUUAAAACAAACACCUCCCACUAUUUUCUCGAAUCUCUUACACUCCUCCGGUAGAGAAACAGAAACCUGCAACUCUAGAUUUCAAGUGGGGUACUACGGUCCCACCAAUUUACAUGUCACCUCACCUAACAGUUAUUGGUGACAUAUAAACAAUGAGUGUACAACUUCUUGUACAAUGUUUCUCAAGCAAGUUGUAGCCAACUUGGUCUCCAAGUCAUAAGGACCUCACCUAACAGUUAUUAGCUCCGUUCCUUAGUUAAGUCAAACCCACCAUAUAUCCCGUAGAAAUAAAGCCGUCAUUGGGUCCUCACCUAACAGUUAUUGGAGCCCAAUCCCAUCUUUACCCCCACUACAUCUCAUGUCAAUAGAGAGGUCCAGUCUCCCAAUGCAACGUGCCCAUUGUAUCUAGCCGAGAUAAAUCAACGUCGGAAAAACCUUAGCAGCUCUACUAUGGUGGAAGACCUCUAGACUUAAUAUUAUGUAAUAUAGUCUUAGUGAUUCCAACUUUGAGCUCUUCAUAGGUGAUAAUCGAUCAAUUGGCCAGGUAAGCAGGUGGGAGGUUCUCCUUACUCAGAGAGUAAGGUUCUAAUUAAGUAACCACCUUUAAUGCUUUCCUAGACACCAAUUAGAUCAAUUAAUCAAAUAUGGCUAGCUCAAUGUAUCAUUCACUCUCGACUGAUUGAGAAGGUUUUAAUCGAUUUAGGUUUCGAUUAGGGUUUAUAUCUUAUGUAAAUAUGCCCCUCCCUUCUAAUCUUAAUCAAAUUAGGAUUUAGGUGGUCCUUGCUUCAUUGAAUCCUAAUCUAAUUAGGAAUCAAUUUGUCUCCCUAUUUGACUCCCAUGAAUCCUAAUCUAAUUUGGAGUCAUCUUUAUCUAUUGGACCAAAAUUAAUUAGGACUCUAGGAAUCCUAAUCCAAUUAGGACUCAUAUAAUUUUAGUCCUAAUCCAAUUAGGACUUUUAGGAAUCCUACUCCAAGUAGGACUCUAAUAAUUUGAAGUCCUAAUCUAAUUAGAACUCUAGGAGUCCUACUUCAAGUAGGACUCUUGAACCUUAUCAAAUAAAAUCGAGUCCAAUUAAUUAAGUCCAAUUGAUUCAAUCAAAUUACAAAUAAUUCCUUCUUCAACUCACUAACUCUUAGUGGAUUAAACCAAUUAUCAAUCAAAUUGACAAUUACAAACUAUUGUGAUUCCAAAUCACAAUCUAACCAUUAGAUCAAUCCGAUCCUCUAUUGUGUGUGACCUAGUGAGAUAUAUUGUGAUCCCUAGCACAAUAUCAUUCAAACUCCUUUCAAUGGGUUGGAACAAUUCCAACUCUUCUCAUUCGGGUUCACUGAUCAUCAAGUGAAUGCCUCUCAGUCUCACAAUCCACUAGUGACACCUAGCAGCAUGUAGUGGCAACCCAAAAGAAUGGAAUAGAUGAACCUCUAGGUGCAGUUAGCGUAUGAUACAGUUCCUCUAUCGUGGAUUCCAAUAGGAUGGAGGUCAUGGAUAACUCGUCAAACUCCAUCAUCUGUCAUAUGUAAAAUUUAUUCGACUCCAGUUCGAGAUUGAAAAACUCUUUUUCCAAAAACUACCUUGGCCAAGGAUUUACGAACUCAGUCUCAUAAAUC
Molecule: long non-coding RNA, 6123 nt
Filed under: Phoenix dactylifera (date palm)
Lineage: Eukaryota; Viridiplantae; Streptophyta; Magnoliopsida; Arecales; Arecaceae
Description: long non-coding RNA (PDAC_LNC008533)
Source: RNAcentral